UGUGACAUUGCACACCAUAUGUUUUAUGGGAAUAUACUUAUGAGUGUAAAUACAAUGUAACUGGACAGGGUCUCUGGGACAGAACCCACCACAGUGGAG
This is a long non-coding RNA of Gopherus evgoodei (Goodes thornscrub tortoise), 99 nucleotides long. RefSeq lists it as uncharacterized. The record is from RefSeq and is a predicted model, not a curated record. NCBI's taxonomy places the organism in Eukaryota, Metazoa, Chordata, Testudines, Testudinidae. The transcript has 5 exons.